This 476-nucleotide ribosomal RNA is filed under the name uncultured bacterium. Its description in RNAcentral is "bacterial SSU rRNA". It matches the Rfam family "Bacterial small subunit ribosomal RNA", at positions 417 to 895 of the family's 1533-position model. The record is from RNAcentral.
UAUGCGUUGUAAACUUCUUUUGUACGGGAAGAAACACUUCGACGUGUCGAAGCUUGACGGUACCGUACGAAUAAGCAUCGGCUAACUCCGUGCCAGCAGCCGCGGUAAUACGGAGGAUGCAAGCGUUAUCCGGAUUUAUUGGGUUUAAAGGGUACGUAGGCGGAAAAUUUAGUCAGUGGUGAAAUCCCGCAGCUUAACUGUGGAACUGUCAUUGAUACUGGUUUUCUUGAAUUUAGUUGAGGUAGGCGGAAUGUGUAAUGUAGCGGUGAAAUGCUUAGAUAUUACACAGAACACCGAUUGCGAAGGCAGCUUACUAAGCUAUGAUUGACGCUGAGGUACGAAAGCGUGGGGAGCGAACAGGAUUAGAUACCCUGGUAGUCCACGCUGUAAACGAUGAUCACUCGUUGUUGGCGAUACAUUGUCAGCGACUGAGCGAAAGCAUUAAGUGAUCCCCUGGGGAGUACGAUCGCAAGAUU